This 267-nucleotide ribosomal RNA is filed under the name uncultured bacterium. RNAcentral's name for it is "partial 16S ribosomal RNA". It matches the Rfam family "Bacterial small subunit ribosomal RNA", at positions 793 to 1055 of the family's 1533-position model. The record is from RNAcentral.
GUCCACGCUGUAAACGAUGUGCGCUGGAUGUUGGGUAACUUAGUUACUCAGUGUCGUAGCUAACGCGAUAAGCGCACCGCCUGGGGAGUACGGCCGCAAGGUUGAAACUCAAAGGAAUUGACGGGGGCCCGCACAAGCGGUGGAGCAUGUGGUUUUAAUUUCGAAGCAACGCGCAGAACCUUACCAGCUCUUGACAUCUGUCGGACUUCGCAGAGAUGCGUUGGUGCCCGCAAGGGAACGGCAAGACAGGUGCUGCAUGGCUGUCGU